Brassica oleracea var. oleracea is the source of this 2030-nucleotide long non-coding RNA. RefSeq lists it as uncharacterized. The transcript is spliced from 7 exons. The record is from RefSeq and is a predicted model, not a curated record. NCBI's taxonomy places the organism in Eukaryota, Viridiplantae, Streptophyta, Magnoliopsida, Brassicales, Brassicaceae.
UCCUGCAAUCACCGUUACUGUAAAUCACCUCAUCAUCAAUCAAUGUUGCUCUUUAAUCCCUUCUUGAUGGUUUCGUUCCAUCUCCCAUUGAUCCUCCUCUUACAUAAGUCGCUUCAUCUAAACAUAAAAAUCAAGCCAAAAUCGAAAACCUCCACUAACGAAACUACAGUUACGACCAUGAAAUCCACCAGAAAGUUUCCCUCUCCACCGGCAAGUCUCAUGUCGCCGAAGUUUCGCCAGGACCAGCCGAAUUUGAACUAAAUUUUGGUUAAUCCAUUUUUGGGAGGCAAAAAACAUUGCAAAAAUUGGCUUAGAGCUGCUAUGAUCAAGAUGGAUGUCGCUUCAGAGGGUACCAAUCUCACGACGAAGUUCUUGCAUCCUAAUGAUCGUUGUAUCUAGGAGAUCGAUGUUGAGUUGGAGGCUAAACAGAAGAAAUAUCUUCCCAGACAAAGACAUAAUUAAGAGUCAUUGAAUGAUGAAACUAAAGACUCAGCUUGCUUCACGAGAAAAUUUUACGUCAAAUCUGCAAAAGCUCCUGCUAGAAUCGGAAAGGUAAAGUUGCUCCUUUGCACAUGUAAGAAUUACAAUUAACUUGGCAAAGGAUGAUGUUUGGGUAAGAUUGUGUUUUCUUUAGGCUUUUUUUUUUUUUUUAAAUUCUUAGAUAUCAUUUGAUUACUGUUUUGGUUUUUAGGGGAAGUUGUGGCUUCUGGAUCAACUAUUCAAGAAGCAUGUCUAUGGAGUGUACGUUUUUGGCCAUAUUUACUGCUAAAUAUUUACAAGUUUAACCCCGACCUGUUAUAUUGUUUGAGUAGGCAUAACUCCUUACCAACUAGAAAAUUACGGUAGCUAUAUGUUUACACUUUGGUGCAUAUUGCUAAUGAUUGAUGACACAGGCGUGCUGGUGGUGAAAAGAUGUACAACGUGUUUCAUAACCAAUUUCUGGUAGCUCUGAAGAGACUUCAAGUUGACAACUUCAAGUUGACAAGCAGGAACUGGUUCACAAGUCUGCUAAUGAGAUAGUUAUGGUUUCAACAUAUACACGAAUUAAAGCAAUACCCAUUGGCCAUAUUCGCCUCAUAAAUGGGGACAACCUAGACACUCAGACACCCAUGACUUCAAAGACACUAGGAGGUGUGUUCGUUUAUUUGAAGAUACCAACUUUGUUUGCUUCCGUGAUAUUUUCAUCUAAAGCAUUGAGGACUGCUAACUUCCGCUGGGUCGCUGAGUCGAAAAGCUUUUGUGGUUAUCUCAGAUCCGAUUGUUGCAAUGCAUGUCCUCCGAGAAAACAUUUCCUCAUCACAAGUGAAUUCUUACUGAGAUCUUAGAGCUGGUUAUGAGGAAAGUGUUGGUACCAGUAGACCUUAGUUACUUGGAAGUUAAGAAGCAGAGCUGAAACUCAUGAUUCCCUACAUUGUAUGAUUGUAUCUAGAAGCUAUGGUCAAAAUAUUUAGUGCCUGUUCAGAGGAAAUGAUACUGAAGUCUAAGAAACUCUUAAGAGAGAGAGAAGUCUCAAGCAGAGGGGACAUCAUCAAGUUGGAUCUUGAAGUAAAAUUCUAGAGUCCCUUCACAUCAUAGGGCUAAGGUUUUUGAUUUUUGAGUGUACUCUUCACCAAGUUUUUAUAGUAAGCUGAUCCAUUCUUAAAUUUUUCUAUUACAUCACAUGCAGUUUAUGAAAACUCUUUUUUUGAGGCAGAGCAUUCCUCUACUUUCUACUUCAUGUAUUGUGAUAUGGAAGUUUUCUCCAGCCAUAUGAAUCGUUCCGAGGCAAAGGCGAAGGUCCAAAGCCAUCUGAAGAUUAUAAAUGAUAGCCUUGGUGUUCGGUCCUCACUUUGUAAUUUUCCCAAGCAGGAUAUAGAUAUUGAGAAAUUUCAGCAAAGGGACUACUCAAAUCUCAAAUUUGAAGUAAAUUAAUUUAUUUCCGCAUAGGUCAUCGACAAUUCUUAAAAUAAGACUUACUAGAAGAGCAUGUAACAUUUUUCUCUUUUUAGUUUCUCAUCUAAUAGUGUCAUUUUAUUGGCAUGUCUGCUAAA